This 297-nucleotide ribosomal RNA is filed under the name uncultured Pseudomonadota bacterium. RNAcentral's name for it is "uncultured proteobacterium partial 16S ribosomal RNA". It matches the Rfam family "Bacterial small subunit ribosomal RNA", at positions 29 to 351 of the family's 1533-position model. Lineage: Bacteria; Pseudomonadati; Pseudomonadota. The record is from RNAcentral.
AACGAACGCUGGCGGCAGGCUUAACACAUGCAAGUCGAACGGUUGUAGCAAUACAGCAGUGGCAGACGGGUGAGUAACACGUGGGAACCUUCCUCGUUGUACGGAACAACUCAGGGAAACUUGAGCUAAUACCGUAUACGUCCGAGAGGAGAAAGAUUUAUCGCAAUGAGACGGGCCCGCGUCGGAUUAGGUAGUUGGUGGGGUAACGGCCUACCAAGCCGACGAUCCGUAGCUGAUCUGAGAGGAUGAUCAGCCACACUGGGACUGAGACACGGCCCAGACUCCUACGGGAGGCAG